RNAcentral lists this ribosomal RNA (620 nucleotides) under Shewanella sp. P904. RNAcentral describes it as "bacterial SSU rRNA". It matches the Rfam family "Bacterial small subunit ribosomal RNA", at positions 383 to 995 of the family's 1533-position model. Lineage: Bacteria; Pseudomonadati; Pseudomonadota; Gammaproteobacteria; Alteromonadales; Shewanellaceae. The record is from RNAcentral.
CUGAUGCAGCCAUGCCGCGUGUGUGAAGAAGGCCCUAGGGUUGUAAAGCACUUUCAGUAGGGAGGAAAGGUGAUGGUUUAAUACGCCAUUACUGUGACGUUACCUACAGAAGAAGGACCGGCUAACUUCGUGCCAGCAGCCGCGGUAAUACGAGGGGUCCAAGCGUUAAUCGGAAUUACUGGGCGUAAAGCGUACGCAGGCGGUUCAUUAAGCCAGAUGUGAAAUCCCCGGGCUCAACCUGGGAAUUGCAUUUGGAACUGGUGAACUAGAGUCUUGUAGAGGGGGGUAGAAUUUCAGGUGUAGCGGUGAAAUGCGUAGAGAUCUGAAGGAAUACCGGUGGCGAAGGCGGCCCCCUGGACAAAGACUGACGCUCAUGUACGAAAGCGUGGGGAGCAAACAGGAUUAGAUACCCUGGUAGUCCACGCCGUAAACGAUGUCUACUCGGAGUUUGGUGCCUUGAGCACUGGGCUCCCAAGCUAACGCAUUAAGUAGACCGCCUGGGGAGUACGGCCGCAAGGUUAAAACUCAAAUGAAUUGACGGGGGCCCGCACAAGCGGUGGAGCAUGUGGUUUAAUUCGAUGCAACGCGAAGAACCUUACCUACUCUUGACAUCCAGAGAA